Molecule: unclassified non-coding RNA, 1103 nt
Filed under: Hevea brasiliensis (rubber tree)
Lineage: Eukaryota; Viridiplantae; Streptophyta; Magnoliopsida; Malpighiales; Euphorbiaceae
Source: RNAcentral
AGUGGGGUCAAUUGACCCCACUCAAUUUAAAAAUUAGAAAAAAAAUCCCUGUUAUGUAUUGAAUUGAAUUACCCAAUAGUUGGUCACAAGUAAGAAUAUAGAGUUCAACCCAAUGUGGACAUCUGUGCCAAAUUCUUUUAAGUGUCGGGAUAAGAGGACUCCAAGUCCUAUAAAAAUACUUUACGUGGGCCAAGUUAAAAGUGAUAGGAAGGAAAAAAAAGAAGUUACUGGAACAUUUUUUUUUCCAAAAGAAAAAUUUUCUAUUUCGCAGAAAUUGAAACGCGGUGAAGUUAAUUCAUUGUGCAAGAUUUUUUUUUUUCAAGCAAGAAGAAAAAUAUUUUAAGAAAAAAUAUUUUUUUAUUUUUUACAAUUUUUGAAUAGAAAUUUUUUAAAGAAAUUUAGAGUAAGAUUUUCUUUGUUUGUCUAUAAAUUUCAUUAAUCAAAGAGUUGAUAGCCGAGCUUGAUUUCAGUGUAAACACAUAUAGAGUUCUCACAUUAUCAAAAAAAUUUCAGUUUAUAACAAGGAUUUAUUAUUUUAUGAGAUUAUAUUUUUACUCAAUUUUUAUAGUAUAUUGAAAAUUUACAAACAUUAUUGUUUUUUUUUAAUAAAUAAUUUAUUAUUGUAUACAAUAUAUUUUAUAAAUUAAAAUAAAUUUUUUUGACCCCGCUAACUUAAUUUUUUGGCUACGCCCUUGCAUGCACCUGAGCAUGUGUGAAAAGUUACCAUAUGCUUGCUGUGUCUUUAACAAGUUAAUAUUGUAUUUGAUGACAUUUGUCUGAUAGCUUGCUAAAAAACCUUCAUUAGAAUGAAAAUUGAUUUUGUUCAUAGUGCUUAUAGUGCAUUUUUAUUUAAAUGUGAGACUUUAUUUUUUCUUGCAUGCUUGUCUCUAACCAAGUAAAGGAUGUCCUUUUCAAGACAAGAUGGUGUCUCAUUAAUCCCAUAUAUCCAAUGUUUAAUGAAAUUGAAUUCAGUAGUGGAUGUAGCUUCGGAAAUGUGCCUGUUUAUUAGACAGAUAUCCUUUUAUCCUGGUCAUUCAGGAAUGUGAUUUUAAUCGAUUUGCUUUUAUCGACGCCGUUCCAGUGGCUUGCCUAAAAGGAGAGCA